GAAAACAGUAUGAAAAUGUUCUAUUUCCGCCGUUCUGUCAAAAAAGGAUUUUAACUGUAGAAGAUGCUGGUGAUAGAAAACUAUCAGGAAUGCUUCAAGCUGGCAAUGGAGGGAAAUGUAAAAGACACUGAGAUAUCACAAGGUUUCAAAGAUCUAGAAUAUGCUCACAGUCAGUCUUCCAGAUACUCACCUUAAAGGUUCCAGUGUGUUUUAGGAGACUUUGUCAGAACAGUACUUUAUACCUACAUACACUGGAGAUACCAGACCAAGCAGAUAAUUACAGAU
Mya arenaria is the source of this 285-nucleotide long non-coding RNA. RefSeq lists it as uncharacterized. The record is from RefSeq and is a predicted model, not a curated record. Lineage: Eukaryota; Metazoa; Mollusca; Bivalvia; Myida; Myidae. The transcript is spliced from 3 exons.